ACAGGGGGUGCAAACGUUGCUCGGAAUUAUUGGGUGUAAAGCGCACGUAGGCGGUUUGUUAUGUCGGAUGUGAAAGCCCUUGGCUCAACUGAGGAAGUGCAUCCGAAACUGGCAAGCUAGAGUAUGUAAGAGGGUCGCGGAAUUCCCGGUGUAGAGGUGAAAUUCGUAGAUAUUAGGAAGAACACCAGUGGCGAAGGCGGCUCACUGGAUCGGUACUGACACUGAGGUGCGAAAGCGUGGGGAGCAAACAGGA
RNAcentral lists this ribosomal RNA (253 nucleotides) under uncultured prokaryote. RNAcentral's name for it is "partial 16S ribosomal RNA". It matches the Rfam family "Bacterial small subunit ribosomal RNA", at positions 525 to 777 of the family's 1533-position model. The record is from RNAcentral.